Molecule: ribosomal RNA, 253 nt
Filed under: uncultured prokaryote
Description: partial 16S ribosomal RNA
Rfam family: Bacterial small subunit ribosomal RNA
Source: RNAcentral
UACGGAGGGUGCGAGCGUUGUCCGGAAUCACUGGGCGUAAAGGGCGCGUAGGUGGCUCGUUAAGUGGCUGGUGAAAUCCCGGGGCUCAACUCCGGGGCUGCCGGUCAGACUGGCGGGCUAGAGCACGGUAGGGGCAGAUGGAAUUCCCGGUGUAGCGGUGGAAUGCGUAGAUAUCGGGAAGAACACCAGUGGCGAAGGCGUUCUGCUGGGCCGUUGCUGACACUGAGGCGCGACAGCGUGGGGAGCAAACAGG